GGUACUCUAUUUGUAAACUGCAUAAUCCUAUGAAGAAGCAAAACUGCAGAAUAGCAUGCAAGUGAAGCCUUUUAUGUGAAGCAGGAGAAGCUUAAGCUUGCAUUUUAAUUAAGAAAUCAAGAUAUGGUAAAGAAAUAUCCAUAUAAGCAACUCAUAAGAUUUGUUAUGAGUGAGUUGUUUAAAGGUCUAACUGAUGAUGGG
RNAcentral lists this unclassified non-coding RNA (201 nucleotides) under Hevea brasiliensis (rubber tree). Lineage: Eukaryota; Viridiplantae; Streptophyta; Magnoliopsida; Malpighiales; Euphorbiaceae. The record is from RNAcentral.